Molecule: ribosomal RNA, 583 nt
Filed under: Aspergillus niger
Lineage: Eukaryota; Fungi; Ascomycota; Eurotiomycetes; Eurotiales; Aspergillaceae
Description: eukaryotic LSU rRNA
Rfam family: 5.8S ribosomal RNA (bases 220-373)
Source: RNAcentral
GUUUCCGUAGGUGAACCUGCGGAAGGAUCAUUACCGAGUGCGGGUCCUUUGGGCCCAACCUCCCAUCCGUGUCUAUUGUACCCUGUUGCUUCGGCGGGCCCGCCGCUUGUCGGCCGCCGGGGGGGCGCCUCUGCCCCCCGGGCCCGUGCCCGCCGGAGACCCCAACACGAACACUGUCUGAAAGCGUGCAGUCUGAGUUGAUUGAAUGCAAUCAGUUAAAACUUUCAACAAUGGAUCUCUUGGUUCCGGCAUCGAUGAAGAACGCAGCGAAAUGCGAUAACUAAUGUGAAUUGCAGAAUUCAGUGAAUCAUCGAGUCUUUGAACGCACAUUGCGCCCCCUGGUAUUCCGGGGGGCAUGCCUGUCCGAGCGUCAUUGCUGCCCUCAAGCCCGGCUUGUGUGUUGGGUCGCCGUCCCCCUCUCCGGGGGGACGGGCCCGAAAGGCAGCGGCGGCACCGCGUCCGAUCCUCGAGCGUAUGGGGCUUUGUCACAUGCUCUGUAGGAUUGGCCGGCGCCUGCCGACGUUUUCCAACCAUUCUUUCCAGGUUGACCUCGGAUCAGGUAGGGAUACCCGCUGAACUUAAG